AGUUAAGGGCCUCCGAUAUUAGUUUGCCAACUGGAUGGUAUAUACAGGUCUUUCUGUCUGUCUAUAUAAUUAAUUGUCAAGUUUUCACAAUAUUGCAAUGCCGUUGAAAUUUUCUCACAAAACGUUUUAGGUGAAUAUAAAUUUAAAAAUAUAUAUCAAGCAGAAAACGUUAUAUGUAAAAAGCAUUAGCCUAGUUCAAGUGUUUCAGAAGAUCGUAUCGGUAUGAUUAUUGCUUUCUGGUUAAUAUUUGAAGUCGCCUUUCAUUUGGAUGUUGCUGACGGGCAUGACCAUCAUCAUCAUCAUCAUCAUCCCAGAGUGAUAAUUACGGAGAAAGACUGUGCAGUCAGGAAGCACACGUUACAGGGGACGCACAGCCGCGUGGAGCUCCUUCAGGGCCCGAGACACCGCACUCUGUAUGCUGGAGGUGGUGGCAGGCUGUUCUACUUGGACUUCCGGGAACAUGACGGCAAGGAGAUGCCGGUGUUCAACUGCUCCAAUUCUUGUUCAAGAAACAUAAGCUCGUGUGACUAUGACAUCACUCUUCUUCACGAGUGUAAGAAUGGAAGUGCACUCUUCAUCUGUAGGACCGAUAGGACUACUCCAGUGUGUUGCAGUGCGUCCAGAGAGACUGGUUUUUGCGAUGAAUGUCACCCGGAAAAAGCAGUGGCCCCGGUUUCUGUACAUGAGCGUGCACCGUCUCUCUAUGUUGGGGAGGAGCUGUACACGACUGCCAACAUGGUCAACGGGGGCAACCACGUGGGCAUCCGCAGGCAUUAUGGACAUCGAGUCAGCAUUUGGCCAAGUGACAACGUGACGGAGCAGAAUUAUGUGGCCCUAGUUGCGAGCCCCAGACCUAACAAGAUUCAGGACCGGAUCUACGCCUUCCUGGUCCAGAGGAAUGCAGACCAGCACAGGGAGGCGGAUCUGUGGGUGUCCCUUGUCACCCAAGUGUGCCAGGCAGAUUUGGGCGGGCCCAAAUCAUUUUUACAAAGGAGCUGGACAUCCCACCUUAGCGCCCUGCUGUCCUGUGGCAUCGCUGAGAAGAAGCUGUACUUUAACCAGCUGCUGGAUGUCGCGGUCCUAGAGCAGGACAUCUGGAAAGACAGCAUGGUGUAUGCCCUCUUCUCCAAUGGCUGGGGCAUGACAGCGGUAUGCGUCUUCACCAUGGGUGACAUUGACUACGUCUUCACAAAUUCCCCAUUCAAGGGAUACAUGGGCACGGUUCCACACCCGCGGCCCGGAACGUGCGUUGAAGACAGCACAAAACUUCCUCAGGAUGUGCUUCGAUUGGUAAAAGACCAUCCUGAGAUGAAGGACUGGGUCAGGCCAGUGAAUAACAGCGACCCCAUUUUCAUCAGUCAUCAUCAUCAAUACAAACACAUCCGAGUGGACAGAGUGAACAGCAGCCUGGGGGACUCCUACCACGUGAUACUGCUUACGCUGGGGAGUGGCAGGGUACACAAAGUGCUGGAGCAGGACGGCCACACCUUCGUUAUUGCUGAACUGCGGCCCUUUGCCUACUGCUGCCAUAUCCGCAACGUUCUGCUGCAGCCACAUACGAAGAUGCUCUAUGUGAGCAGCAGCAGUGAGGUUGUAGAGCUGGACCUGCGCAGCUGCCAGGCCUAUGGACCACGGUGUGAGGACUGUGUUAUGGCCCGGGACCCCUACUGCGGAUGGAAUGGAACUCACUGUGCACCAGUCACCAGGUAUAGCCCAUAGUCUUCAGGUCUACACAUAACCUCUCACACAAGCGGUGAAGUUUUAGGAAGGACCUUGAGGGAGUAGGGUCUAAAGAAUAUUAAAUUGGCAGGAGGGGCAUUAUUCAUUCACAGUUGUGUACCAGUUUGAAUGAGAUGAAAUCGGGGCUCUUAAAAAGCCUUUAUUGCUGUUUGUAUGUCCUUAUAAAUUAUCGAGGUAAGACUUUGUUGUGUUGCCUCAGAUGACCACACAUAACAGCAAAGGGAUUCAGUUCUGUCUUCUCAAAGGUUCUCUUUUGGCAUGGGUGAGUGUAGGAAUACUGCAUGUUUUGGCAUCUUGUGCCUGCUUGAGACAGCAGAAAUCAGGGAAGGUCAGUUUGGGGAGUAUGCACUGCACUGGCGCAGCAUUUUGUACCAGCUAAAGAUGUGCCAAACCGAUCAGUAUCAGUUUUCAGUAUUGUAUCGGUCCGAUUCUGGCCUAAAUUACAGGACUGGAUAUUGGGGAGGAAUAAAAAAUGUAAUCCGAUCCAUUAAACAUCACGGAAAUGUUUGACAAAACCUGAAACAUGCAGUAAGCAGAUGCGUCACGUUCUCGCAUAAAACAGCGUGUGUCACGCGAUAGGAGCUUCUGUUGUGCGUGAGACCUGCCGGCAUGUCAGCAGUGUGGAGAUACUUCAAAUGCACAAAAGAAAAAGGCAAGACCACGGAAUGUAAGGUGUAGUUGAAGUAUUUCGCUGAGUGGCAGCAGCUUUGGAAACUGCAACACCACAAACCUGAUUUAGCAAUGCUGCUAAAAGUGAUAAAGUUUAAAUAAAAAGUAGCAGUUUUGGGUGCAAGGCAUUUCUUACAUAUUAUGAGUGUAAUACAGUGGGAAACGCUUAUAGUGAUCAUGUCUGUGUGGGUGAAAUUGAUCACUAUAAGAGCAUGGUCAUUAUAACAGAUUUUUUUUUUCCCCAUUUUCUUUAUGUCUCAGGCAGAUAAAUAUAUAAGUGUCAAUUACAUGGUAAUUAUAUGGAUGAGGUAAUAAAACAGACAGCAUUGCUAUUUACUGAAUUUAACUGACUCUCAAAAUAAAGAAUAAAGAAUCUUGAAAAUACAGUACAACUAUUUCAAACGCUUUUCAAAGUACUGUAUUGCUCACUCCUGACAAACCCCAGAAUCGACAGGGAAGAAUGCAGAGGUUCUAUCUCCUCUCUGCACAACACUAACAGCAACAGAGUACAGGCUGGCAAUGAUCCCAACUGAGCUGAAUGUUUUACAAAAAUUGACAAAGGCUGCAAAGAAACUCUGAUAAACUCUGAAAACCCGCAGUGCCAGGAAGUGGUCAAUGGUAGACUUUUUUAAUGUAAAACCAGCCUGCUCCAGUCACUGGUUGGUGAGCAAGUGACCACAGAUGCUGUUAAGGAUGACCCCAGUAAGGACCUUACCCAGCAUGGAGAGCAGAGUUGCCUCCCAGUAGUCAUACAUUUCACUUUCUAGAUAGGGACAAGAAGUCCAGUUUUCCAGUCAGUUGGGAUGACAGCUUUCCCAGGAACAGCUACUCCCUGAGUAGGGCAGCCAUCAGAGAAACCAGACCAAAAGUAGGUGUUCCCACCUAGAGAUAUCUGGCCACUCCGGUCUGUGGAGUUUACGAAGUUCCUGAUAGCAUCGUGCCAGAGUGACGCGGCUACCUGAUAGGGACCAGAGUGCUGCCGUGCAGCGGGUGACGCUUCAGCGCCACACCGGUUCCGAUUCCCAGUGGGCCUGGUCUCAUUGGCUCCCCGGUAGUUUCGACACCUCUGGGGAUGACCCCAUUCAUGAAGUAUGCAGCUUUCCUGUGGGUGGCUGCGGCAGAGCUACUCCCAUGGAGAGCUGAAAAGAGUCCUGGGUGAAGUUCUUACGGUGGCUUGAGCACCAAACCUGCCACCAGCCCCCAAAAUUUUCUAUGCAAGAUGGAGGACCACUUACAGGGGCGGAUGCAGUUUAACCUCAUACCCAACCUAAUGGAGAAACCCAAGGGCAUAAAGUCACUAUGCAGAGCAUUCUCUGUUACAGUACACUCAGAAGUGAGUCUGACUUAAGUAACUAUUAUAUAGUCAUGCAUUACUUAACAAAACCAAUACAUUCUGAGAAAUGCAUUGUUAGGCAAUUUUGUUGUUGUGUGUACAUCAGAGUAUACUUACACAAACCUAGAUUAUAUAGCCUACUGAACACCCAGGCUAUAGGGGAUAGCCUAAAUAACGAUUAAAAAGUACAGUAUAGUAAAUAUACAAAACACUAACAAUUAUUAUUCAGUACUAUGUACUGUACAUAAUUGCAAAUCGUUUUGUACAACUGGCAGCACAGUAGAUUUGUUUACACCAACAUUACCAGAAACACAUGACUAAUGCAUGGCACUAUAAAAUUACAACAGCUACGAUGACACUAGGCGACAGGGAUGCUUCAUCUCCAUUAUAAUCUUAUGAGAUCAUUGUCAUAAAUGUCAUCUGUUGACUGAAAAAUGUGGUACAUGACUGUAUAUGAAUUGUAACCAAAAAAAAAAGUAGGAAGGUGACACCUUGUCAGAAUGCAGUUUAUCCUCGAAAUUUAAUACAAAAAAGCCACAGUUCGGAUUGCAUAAAGGCUUCUUCGGUUUAGUGAACUUCAGUCAAAAAGACGUUUUGAAUGCUAGUAUAAUUCCUAGGACAUCCACCAGAAAUUACCACCGAGCCCUUGGAGUUCUAUUCCUGGCAUAGGUCCAGCGUUAAGAGGCAUUGUCUUCUUGUUUUAUGUUACAACAGAAUGGCUCUUUGCAAUAAAUUCUGUUCUCAUAAGGUAAGACGUUACAUUUAAUUGAGGUUACACUAUAGCCAGUCUCUCAUAAUAAACUAACAAUUAAAAUAUUUUUAGGACAUCACACUAGCAUCCUCGCAGGAGAACCACUAGUCAUUAGUAAGAACAAUGCAAGUGAAAUUAGAUUGUAGUUUGUUUAUCUAUACAUUGGCAGCUAAGAUUAAAAUUUCACUUUUGAAAUAACAGCAAAAAGAGUGAGUGAUCACUGUGAUGCUGCACUGAAAGAGCAGUUAUGGAAAAAUGGAGUGUGAAAUGGAAAAAGAUUUUAAUAUAGUGCAGCAUAAGUGAAUAAAAAUUUAAGGCUUUCCCUGAUACCACCACUCAUUUUUCAGUUUUUGGUUAAAGGGCUUCAGUUCCACUGUUCUACUUUAAUGGGUAACGACAGUGAAACCUGAAAGGGUGUUAAUAAGUACGCCUGGCAAGAGAGCAUUCGAGGCCCAUUUUGUAAUCUUAUCAAUGAAUCUGCCUCUACAUGCUUUGGACAUUCAGGUGAAGAAAGGAGCUGUCAGCUGAUCACCACCUGGUGGUGAUUUGGACGAUGGGCGAAAAUGCCAGAUAGACCCGAUAGACCCAAAUGUAUAGUGAGACUGUGCUUGGAGUGUUUGGCCAAGGCCCCUGUCUGAGGGGUCUUCAACUUGCACCUUUGGCCGAACUCCUCUUGCAUCCCAAACAAGGGUGGAGACAUUGAGCCUGAAUGGACAAUGUUCUGGGACUUCAAUGCUGAGGCGGGUGUGCGGAGCUGAAAGGUUGCUGGUGCCCGUCCUGGUGGCAAUCCCCAAACCCGGCGGUGGGCACCAGCUGUAAAGGGGUGUUGAUAGGCUGAGGGAGGAGGCCUUCUGAGCUUUGUUAACUUGUGGGACUCCUAAAACAGGUGAAACGUACUGGCAGGCCAAGCAGAAAGUGGCUUUGGCCGUUGCGGAAGCAACGGUGUGAGAGGAGUCUGGUGAGGGCAUAGACAAUUACUUUUGGGCGACCUCAAAAAGUUUCUGGCAGUCAGGUGACUCAGGUGGGGCAAGAAGGGGUUCACCCAUUCUGUCUAGAGUAGGGAUGGAGCGCUGUUGACCUCAAAUGGGAAUAUAGUCAGGCAGUGGAAGGAAUAUUUCAAGGACCUCCUGAAUCCCACUGAAAUGCCUUCCUUGAAGGAAGUAGAGCUGGAAGCCUCAGAGGACUUACCCAUCACUAGGGCUGUUGUCACGGAAGUAGUCAAAAAAAAAGAACAAAACACUUUGGUGGUAAGGCUCCUGAGUUUCUCCCAGCUCUUCAAGUUGUUGGGUUGUCUUGGCUGACACACCUCUUCAACAUUGCGUGGAGGUUGGGGUCAGUGCCCACGGACUGGCAGACUGGAGUAGUGGUCCCAAUCUUUAAGAAAGGGGACCGGGGGAUGUGUUCCAACUACAGAGGGAUCACACGCUCAAUUUAAGUAUCUGUUAUUCACGAGUGAGGGAAGAAGGGAACAGAAGAUCAGUGCAACGUCAACAGUAAUGCAGAGGCUGCAGGGUUCUGUGAUGGUGAAGAGAGGUGAGUGGUGGAGAGAGAGGUGAUGGAUUCACCGGUCAAUCUACGUUCAUACUAUCAUCUAUGGUCAUAAGCUUUGGGUGGGUGACUGAAAGAAUGAGAUUGUGGAUACAAGUAGCAGAAAUCAGUUUCCUCCACAGGGUGUCUGGCUCAGCCUUAGAGAUAGGAUGAGGAGCUCGGACAUUCGGGAGGGGCUCAAAGUACAGCCGCUGCUCUUCUGCAUCGAAAGAAGUCAGUUGAGGUGGUUUGGGCAUCUAUUACGGAUGCCUCCUGAAUGUUGACCUGGGGAGAUGCUGCGGGUAUGUCCAAUUGGGAGGAGACACCGGGGCAGACCCGGGACAUGCUGGAGAAAGAAUCUCUCGAAUGGCCUGGGACAACCUUGGUAUCACCCCCAGAGGAGGUGGUGAGGGUCAGCAUCCUCUCAGCCCAUCACACAUUUGCAGCACGAGGAUUCAUGAAUAGGCUCUUUAUCACACAGUCCUCUAUGGCUUUUUUGUUUC
This is a non-coding RNA of Paramormyrops kingsleyae, 6523 nucleotides long. NCBI's taxonomy places the organism in Eukaryota, Metazoa, Chordata, Actinopteri, Osteoglossiformes, Mormyridae. The record is from RefSeq and is a predicted model, not a curated record.